Molecule: long non-coding RNA, 1801 nt
Organism: Papaver somniferum (opium poppy)
Lineage: Eukaryota; Viridiplantae; Streptophyta; Magnoliopsida; Ranunculales; Papaveraceae
Exons: 3
Source: RefSeq, a predicted model, not a curated record
UCUUUUUCUUCUUCUUCUUCUUCUUCUUCUUCUGCAUCUUCUUUCCUUCUCUGUUUCUUUUCUCUGAUAAUCUAUGAGCCAUGCAUGAGGAAUCUGUGAUAGAAUCAAGAGUAGAAAUAUCAAGGUUGGGUUUCUGGUCGUGGUGUUACGGUUGAUUGAGAACAGGAGGAUGGUGAUAAGGUUGUUGCUGUUAAUCGAAGUUAGGGUUUAUAGUUUUGAUUAAUGAUUUGAAGACGUUGAAGAUGAAUAAUAGAGCUGUCGGUAGAUGAAGAAGCAAGGGUUGAAGUUUAAUUACAGUUCCGAGGUUGUUUUGGGGAUGAAUUAAAGAAUUAGGGUUUCGUUCAAAAUUCAGAGAACAAUUGAAAGAUGAGAUUGAUGAUCUAGGAGGAUGAUUAGACAGGGGUUUUGAGUGAUUGAGUGGAUUGGAUCGGGAUUUCAAGUAGAAUCAAGUUCCUGAUGAUGAAUUGUAGAAUUAGUGAAUUAGGGUUUAUGUUCUGUUCUUCCCCAAAUUGAAAUUAGGGUUUCAGUGGAAUUGAAAAGAGAAGUUAGCUAUUCAGAGGAUGCUGAUUCUUGGGUAAGACUUCAGUUUCGUUUAAGAUUGAUAUUUUAGUUUAAAUUGUUUAGAUUAUUGAACUUCUAUGUUUGUGUUUGAGACUGAAGUUAAGUUGAGUAAACCAUGGAGUUGUAGUUAUUUGUUAGGAUUGUUUUAGAUCGCAAGGAGGAAGGAAGGAUGGUGUUAUUACUGAAUCUUGAAUAGAGUUAAGAUUAGAUGAAUGUUUAGGAUGCUGCCAUAAGAAUGGAUAUUACAGUAUUGUUGUUUGAUUUAAGAAGUUGCAAUUAUUGGACUGGUGGUAAUGCAACUGAGGUUAUAGGUCAUUGUAGAUGAAAGUUGUUCAAGUUAAUAUGUUGUUGAGUAGUGACCAGGUGGAGGUGAUAAUUGUGUUAGUAAUGAAGUGUGUGUAGUAUUGUAAUGGUGAUUGUUCAGAAUGGUGUUCUGGUAUGUUGAAUGUGUGGUCCUUGAGUAAACUGAGUGUAGAUGAAAGAAUUGUUUGAGGUAUAUGAAACUGCAGUUAUGGUGGUGUUGGUUGAAUUGUGUUGUUGAGUUGCGGUUAAAUGGUGGAGGAAUUAGACGCAGGGGAGAUUGAUUUGGUAUUGUGUGGAUUACAGGGAGGAGGAAUGAGAUUGUUAAUGUGGAGUCUUAAAUGGAUUGAAGUUCUUUUAGAUGAUUGUUAGGAUUUCACAUAGAUUGUAAUGCAGAUAUAAGUUAAGAUGUGGUGGAAUUGUGUUGGGAUUUAACUGAAGUUAGUUGUACUGGAAUUGGAGCUGUGUUUGAAUCAGCUGUGUGAGUUUGAUGAUGAGUGUUGCUUAACUGAGAACAAUAGUAAUUGUAAAGCUGUUUUGGCAGUGGCCUUAGUGAAAGCCUGCAACUGCAGAUUAAGACUCUAUUAACAACGAUCGAUUCAAAGGACGAACCAGUGGAUCGUGGAUCUCAAGGUAGGCGUGGCUUGUCAUCAAAAGAGGGCACCCCUUCUAUGGAUGAUGUGCUCACCCUUUUCCACUUCCAGUUUUAGAGAUAGAUCAGAGUUGCGCAGCGAAAGCUUCGAGGAGUUGACUUCGUUAAUUAGUUGGUUAACUUCUGCUAUGUUAUUAUGUGGUAUAUUAUAUUUGUAAAUUAAAUGACUAUUGUAUAUGUAUCAUUUGAGAGGAGUUCUUGUAUACAUAUUUUAGAGCGGGGCUAGUUUCUGGGUUAAGUUUUGUAACAGAUUUUAUUAAUUAAAUGUUUAAGUAAUUGAUUUGGAUU